GGUUGACCUCGGAUCAGGUAGGA
RNAcentral lists this ribosomal RNA (23 nucleotides) under Colletotrichum acutatum. RNAcentral's name for it is "partial 28S ribosomal RNA". Lineage: Eukaryota; Fungi; Ascomycota; Sordariomycetes; Glomerellales; Glomerellaceae. The record is from RNAcentral. RNAcentral also lists the same sequence under 6 other names.